This 29-nucleotide non-coding RNA is filed under the name Homo sapiens (human). The record is from RNAcentral. Lineage: Eukaryota; Metazoa; Chordata; Mammalia; Primates; Hominidae.
UUGAACACCUCGGGUGAUCUGCUGGACUC